AAGCGAACCAAACAACUCGAAAAUUUCUGACACUUGCAUCGAUACCUGCUCUAAAUUAUUUUCAAGCGGUUGUCGGUUCAAUGUCGACCGAGCGCCAUAAAGUGCUACAAAAGUGCAGGAAUCUACCCCCACCAUGCACCCGCAAGCAGCACUGCGUAUAGUUGCAGCUAUCGUGAGUACUUGUACUGAGCCAAACGGCAUUACUGCAGAGAUUGUUUUCUCUCUCUCUCUCUCUUUCUCUCUAAACUGUCAUUCAAAACACAACAGAGAUUGGAUCGAGAAUCAAAUUCAAAAACGUUCAAUCUUGUUGAGACAAAAUGAGACAAAAUUAGGAUUCAUAUAUUAUAAAAUCUUAUUGGAUGAUGAAGCUCCGGUGAAGUAUUGCCGAUGAACUCGGGUCAUCGCAUAUCGCUAAAAUUAACUUCAUCACGGAAAUAACUAAGUUGAACGGGUGUAAAAAAAAACUAAAACCUAUUAUGGUUGAUGCCAUUAGAAUUAGGUGUUGCUGCUUCCGUUGUAGAGCGCGGGUGUGACGAAUGUUUCGAUGGAGAAAUUUGCAGCUGUCAGGAUUUCACUGGUGAUGAUACAAUGACGGAUUAUAUACGAAACGCCAGUAGUGAUGAUUAACUACCAUCUCGAUAUCAGGAGGAAACCAGUACGAAUUCGCAAACUGCACCGAAAAAGAAAACUUUGAUGCUGGGAACGGUUGUAAUGGACCGGACGGCAAUGCUAUGGGGGAACAUUCCUUUAAUUCAAAGUUUAUUUCUUUCUUGUUAUUACUCAAUUUUAGUAUCGGGGACCGUUUAUCUUUAGAUAGCUCACAACAAAUAAUUCUCAAUCCGUAUAGCGGAUUCUUAUACAGUGCUAGAGAAGAAAAUAAUGUACCAAUGUUUUGAAUAUAUAACCUACACAAAUAUUUGUAAACAUUCCCGCUCUAAAUUAUUUUCGAGUAGUUAUCGACACCACGUCGACCGAGCGACGAAAAGUGCUACAAAAGUGAUGGAAUCCAACCCCGCCUUGUCCCCCGCAGAUAGCACUACCUAAAGUUUCAGCCAUAAUUACUGGAAGAUAACUCUAACUGAGUGAAACGGCAUCACUGGCGUUUGCUUUUUCUCUUUCACGCUGGACUGUCAUUUGAAUAAACAAAUGAGAGCGGAGCGGACGGGAAAUUAUUAAAAACAACUGAAUUCUAAACAACAUUUGGUUAUCCACUCGUGAUUUGGUGUCUACGAAAUAAAAGGAAUAAGGAGACUUGAUAUUUUUCAUGUAAUGCUGCCAAUGAUUGCCGUAACGAUACUGCUAUUCCGGCUAUGUCGCUGUGAAAAUGUGCUGCUUUACACCUCGAGCGUCUUGUACGGAACUAUGGAUACAUUCAGGAUAAAGAAUUAAAGGAAACUAUAUAAUUCAAAUAAGGUGGCUUUGGGUUGCGCGUCUUUAAUCAGAACAGAUUGUCUCUAAGCAACAGUUACACAUAUUCUUCAUAUGUGAAAACAAAAAAUAGGUUGAAUCGGCAACAAUCAUAAAACAAUGAAUAUACCGCAUUGUUUCUGCCACUUCCUAACUUUCACAUUUGAACUGCUUCGUCAGUUGCCGGUGUCACCAAUUCAGCGAAUGCAUUACAUUGUGAAUUUACCUCGUCUAAAUUAGAAAAGCAUUACACGAGUAUUGGACUGGAUGGAAUCACUUGGAAUAGAAUUAUGAUGGCUCGAAAUGUUUUAUCAGUAUACUGUAAAUUCUCGAACCAAUACAAACAUGAGCUGAGAGGAAAUUUACUAAUGCUAUAACAUUUUAUUGUAUAGUCGUUGAUUCUGUAGUAUAGUUAUGUAUAUCAUAGUAUAGUCAUAUUGCAUAGUGAUAGUAUCAGUAUAAAUAUGUACAAAUUAAAUUAAAAAUAAAAUGGUUCAAUGUUUA
Long non-coding RNA from Toxorhynchites rutilus septentrionalis, 1911 nucleotides. RefSeq lists it as uncharacterized. The transcript has 8 exons. NCBI's taxonomy places the organism in Eukaryota, Metazoa, Arthropoda, Insecta, Diptera, Culicidae. The record is from RefSeq and is a predicted model, not a curated record.